Molecule: ribosomal RNA, 492 nt
Filed under: uncultured bacterium
Lineage: Bacteria
Description: partial 16S ribosomal RNA
Rfam family: Bacterial small subunit ribosomal RNA
Source: RNAcentral
AGUGAACGCUGGCGGUAGGCCUAACACAUGCAAGUCGAACGGCAGCACAGUAAGAGCUUGCUCUUACGGGUGGCGAGUGGCGGACGGGUGAGGAAUACAUCGGAAUCUACUUUUUCGUGGGGGAUAACGUAGGGAAACUUACGCUAAUACCGCAUACGACCUACGGGUGAAAGCAGGGGAUCUUCGGACCUUGCGCGAUUGAAUGAGCCGAUGUCGGAUUAGCUAGUUGGCGGGGUAAAGGCCCACCAGGGCGACGAUCCGUAGCUGGUCUGAGAGGAUGAUCAGCCACACUGGAACUGAGACACGGUCCAGACUCCUACGGGGGGCAGCAGUGGGGAAUAUUGGACAAUGGGCGCAAGCCUGAUCCAGCCAUACCGCGUGGGUGAAGAAGGCCUUCGGGUUGUAAAGCCCUUUUGUUGGGAAAGAAAAGCAGCAGGUUAAUACCCCGCUGUUCUGACGGUACCCAAAGAAUAAGCACCGGCUAACUUCGUG